This 258-nucleotide ribosomal RNA is filed under the name uncultured prokaryote. Its description in RNAcentral is "partial 16S ribosomal RNA". It matches the Rfam family "Bacterial small subunit ribosomal RNA", at positions 524 to 780 of the family's 1533-position model. The record is from RNAcentral.
UAUGUAGGGGUGCGAGCGUUGUCCGGAAUUAUUGGGCGUAAAGAGCUUGUAGGCGGUUUGUCGCGUCUGCUGUGAAAAUCCGGGGCUCAACCCCGGACUUGCAGUGGGUACGGGCAGACUAGAGUGUGGUAGGGGAGACUGGAAUUCCUGGUGUAGCGGUGAAAUGCGCAGAUAUCAGGAGGAACACUGAUGGCGAAGGCAGGUCUCUGGGCCACUACUGACGCUGAGAAGCGAAAGCAUGGGGAGCGAACAGGAUUA